UUUCCCUCAGGAUAGCUGGCACUCGCUCGAACGAGUCUCAUCUGGUAAAGCGAAUGAUUAGAGGCCUUGGGGCCGAAACGACCUCAACCUAUUCUCAAACUUUAAAUGGGUGAGAUCUCUGGCUUGCUUGAACGUUGAAGCCACGAGAUAACAUUUAAUAAUGGAUCAGAGUGCCAAGUGGGCCAAUUUUGGUAAGCAGAACUGGCGCUGUGGGA
Molecule: ribosomal RNA, 215 nt
Filed under: Steffanolampus salicetum
Lineage: Eukaryota; Metazoa; Arthropoda; Insecta; Hymenoptera; Perilampidae
Description: partial 28S ribosomal RNA
Rfam family: Eukaryotic large subunit ribosomal RNA
Source: RNAcentral